AAUUCUCAACCUUAUCAGUUUAUUUCUGAUAGUGGCUUGGAUGUGGGGGUUUUCUUGCUGGCUGAGGUCAGCUCCCCUUAAAUGCAUUAGCUGGUGCCCCGUGUGGACUGUCUAUUGGUGUGAUAAUUAUCUACGCCUUGGAUGUCUGCAAUGGGUUUUGCGCUGCUUCUAACUGUCUAUUCGUUUGGACAAUACAUGACA
This 201-nucleotide unclassified non-coding RNA is filed under the name uncultured Agaricales. RNAcentral's name for it is "sequence contains ITS2". Lineage: Eukaryota; Fungi; Basidiomycota; Agaricomycetes; Agaricales. The record is from RNAcentral.